GACGAACGCUGGCGGCGUGCUUAACACAUGCAAGUCGAACGGAAAGGCCCUGCUUUUGUUCGUUGCUCGAUUGCCGAACGGGUGAGUAACACGUGAGUAACCUGCCCUUGACUUUGUGAUAUCUUCAGGAAACUCGGGCGCAUAUCCCAUAUGAUCUCCUGCUGCACGUUGUUGGUUGGUGAGUUUCGGCGGUUGUGGAUCGACUGGAGGCUUAUCCGCUUGUUUGUGGGGUAGGUGCUUACCAAGGCUUUGACGGGUAGCCGGCCUGAGAGGGUGACCGGGCACAUUGGGCCUGCGAUACGGCCCAGACUCGUACGGGACGCAGCAGUGGGGAAUAUUGCAGAAUGGGCGGAAGCGUGAUGCAGCAACGCCGCGUGCGGGAUGACGGCCUUCGGGUUGUAAACAGCUUUCGACUGUGACGAAGAGUGAGUGACGGUAAUGGGUAAAGAAGCCACGGCUAACUACGUG
Molecule: ribosomal RNA, 468 nt
Filed under: uncultured bacterium
Lineage: Bacteria
Description: partial 16S ribosomal RNA
Rfam family: Bacterial small subunit ribosomal RNA
Source: RNAcentral